RNAcentral lists this ribosomal RNA (497 nucleotides) under uncultured bacterium. Its description in RNAcentral is "partial 16S ribosomal RNA". It matches the Rfam family "Bacterial small subunit ribosomal RNA", at positions 28 to 507 of the family's 1533-position model. The record is from RNAcentral.
GACGAACGCUGGCGGCGUGCCUAAUACAUGCAAGUUGAGCGCUGAAGGUUGGUACUUGUACCAACUGGAUGAGCAGCGAACGGGUGAGUAACGCGUGGGGAAUCUGCCUUUGAGCGGGGGACAACAUUUGGAAACGAAUGCUAAUACCGCAUAAAAACUUUAAACACAAGUUUUAAGUUUGAAAGAUGCAAUUGCAUCACUCAAAGAUGAUCCCGCGUUGUAUUAGCUAGUUGGUGAGGUAAAGGCUCACCAAGGCGAUGAUACAUAGCCGACCUGAGAGGGUGAUAGGCCACAUUGGGACUGAGACACGGCCCAAACUCCUACGGGAGGCAGCAGUAGGGAAUCUUCGGCAAUAGACGAAAGUCUGACCGAGCAACGCCGCGUGAGUGAAGAAGGUUUUAGGAUCGUAAAACUCUGUUGGUAGAGAAGAACGUUGGUGAGAGUGGAAAGCUCAUCAAGUGACGGUAACUACCCAGAAAGGGACGGCUAACUACGUG